GACGAACGCUGGCGGCGUGCCUAAUACAUGCAAGUCGAACGCAGUGGGGACGGGUGAGUAACACGUGGGUAACCUCCCAUCAGAGGGGAUAACACUUGGAAACAGGUGCUAAACCGAUACUGAUGGAUGGACCCGCGGGGCAUUAGCUAGUUGGUGAGGUAACGGCUCACCAAGGACACGAUGCAUAGCCGACCUGAGAGGACGAUCAGCCAGACUGGGACUGAGACACGGCCCAGAUGCCUACGGGAGGCAGCAGUGGGGAAUUUUGGAUAAUGGGGGAAACCCUGAUACAGCCAUCCCGCGUGUAUGAUGAAGGCCUUCGGGUUGUAAAGCACGUUUGGCAGAGAAGCGGUAUCUGCAGAAUAAGCACCGGCUAACUACGUGCCAGCAGCCGCGGUAAUAC
Molecule: ribosomal RNA, 403 nt
Filed under: uncultured bacterium
Lineage: Bacteria
Description: partial 16S ribosomal RNA
Rfam family: Bacterial small subunit ribosomal RNA
Source: RNAcentral